UUGUCUUAAUAAAUAGAGAAAACUUCGGUUUCCACUGAAUAAAUAUAAGCAUUAUAUAUCAUAUUAUAUACAUAAAGUUUUCAAAUUAAGAAGAGAAAUGGAGAAGAAAUUGAGUGUGGUGGUGAUGAUGAUGAUGAUCGUUUUGGCUGUAAUUGGAACAGAAGCAGUAGAUCAUUUGUGUGUAUUCAAAUGUGAAAUCACAUGCCGCGAUCCAGAGUUCACGUCAAAAUGUUUUAAAGAGUGCAUGGCCAAAUGCGAGCAUCCUUCAUCUACAAAUACCUUUCACUCGACUUCACACUCGCAGAUGAAGAUUAAAGGGAUGGAAGAUAUGCGAGUGUAGAGAUAUUUCAAAAAUUAUAAUUAUGGAUACUUUUCAGAACCGUUUUCAAAAUAAUUUCAGAUCCUUUUCUAAACAAAUUUGCUUUGGCAUAAAAGUCUUAACAUCAACAUCAGCCUAAUUUUUAAUUC
Long non-coding RNA from Camelina sativa (false flax), 468 nucleotides. RefSeq lists it as uncharacterized. The record is from RefSeq and is a predicted model, not a curated record. NCBI's taxonomy places the organism in Eukaryota, Viridiplantae, Streptophyta, Magnoliopsida, Brassicales, Brassicaceae.